Non-coding RNA from Paramuricea clavata, 12506 nucleotides. NCBI's taxonomy places the organism in Eukaryota, Metazoa, Cnidaria, Anthozoa, Malacalcyonacea, Plexauridae. The record is from the annotation of a GenBank genome assembly.
GAAAGCUGUAUUCUAGGAUUUCCAAGAGAAGUAUUGCGUAUACAGCAAGGUUCAACGUAUCUAACUAUUAAUUGUUACAAUACAAUGUUAGUUGGAAAACGUGGUUAUUGAUAUUGCGGGCAAGACCGAGGACAAGAACGUGGUUAUAAAGUGGCCAUAUUUAUUUUACAUGGACUGAUGGACAUAUGCUGAACUGAGUUUAGAAAGGAAUUCAUCGUACCAAUAUAAACCAUUGAUAUUGUAAAUACUCGUAUGUUUAUUAAACCAAGUUGCAGAAUUUUAAAUCGUGAUGUAAACUUUGUGUAUAUCUUGGAUUCUUAGAUUUCAGGUAGGAAUUGAAUAAAUUCAUUGUUAUUUGAGGUUUUAUUUUUAUUUUACCACUUCCUGAUGUGACCUGACAGUGCUUGCAAGUUUAUAAUAAUGCGUCAUCGCCCAGAUGUUGGAUGAAUUUGACAAAAUAUUUUCCUUGCUUGCAAUUCUAAUUUCAUUCCAAAAAUAUGGCGAAGUUUUCUUUGUCUUUUGAAUCCCUUGAGAUUAUUUUUAAUACACACUACCAAACACAAAAUAUGAGAGCAUUCGAUUUAAAAGUUGUCUUUGAUUCGAUGAUUUCGAUCUGAUCUGCUUAAUUUAAUAGAUAAUGACUUGAAAAUUCCUUACGAAGUAUUUGAAAUUUCUGGUAUCAUAUUCUUGAAAGAAUGAGUAUAUAAAUUGUUCAACCUCCCAAAUUAUUAAUAGGUUAUAGUCAAAAUAUUAUCAGGCGAAGGCUUGCAUUCAUGAUAUAACAGACGUUAUACUGUAUAUUCUAUCUUAAUUAUGUAAAUAGGGCGAAUUUUUAAAUAAUAAUUAUUAUUAUACAUUUAAUAUGUAUUCUCGUUUCUAAUUGGUCAGAAAGCACCGGCUAAUUUUCAGUAUUCGGCAUUUAUUACGUAUUUUCCGCCGAUGACGUCAUCAGCGUCCAAUAAUUGUUUUUUUGGAUCAAACUUGCAUCCAAAAAAAAUAUUAUUGGACUCUCUCGUUCCCAAGCCCUUGCGCGGCCAAAAGCUUGAACCUAUAAGCGCGCGAAAAAAACAAACAAACAAUGGCCUACAGCAGAUUUGCUUCGUGAAUGAAAGUGAACUCUCCAAAUUAUUGGCAGAUAAGGAUAGUGAAAGCACGAAAAAAGCCACAAAGGGGUAAAUAGAAGUAGAAAUAGAAUAUUUAGCUGACCUUUGAUUUUGUGCAAGGUGUUUGAUAUUCAAAUUGUACUUUUUCUACCUCAUGAACAGGAAUCGUUUUAUACGUUUCUCAUGUCUUUAAUAAAUGUAUAAUAAAACAAUUAUUGGAUUCGGCUUUCGCAUGAUAUCAAGAAUUAUUCAGACCUCGGUCUAUGUUAUCCGCCUCAGCUUCGCUUCGGCAGAUAACAUUGACCUCGGUCUGAAUAAUUCUUGAUAUCAUGCUCAGCCUCAUCCAAUAAUUGCUUAAUAAUAAUAAUAAUAAUAUAGUAAUUAUUUCUAAUCAACAAUUAAUUAUGACUCAAGGUCGAAAAAAAUUGUAGCAAUAACGCAUGUCGGACAUGCCCUUCUAUCCAAUAUUUUGCACUCCAGCCACACUAGAAAUGUUCAGUUCACUGAUAUACCGAAAAUGUUGAUAUUGAAACCAAUAUCGGUUUUUCGGUAUGAGUUUUUCAGUCAUACCGAUAUACCAAAAUUUCCGAUAUAUUGGAAUUUUUGGGUAUACCGUAUCAAAUUUACACAUAUAUGGCCAAAUCAUCAAUUUUUGUUUUACUCAAAUGCAAAGUAAAAGAAGUAGACAUUUCGUGUUAAAAACAUUGUCAACAGCUAUGAAAUAUUCAAAUUAUUCAAAAUCAAAAGUUCGUUCAAAUUUCUAUUAAAUUCAGAAAGCGAAAAACCAAUAUACGACAUUAGUAUAACUACAUAGGUGAUUAUUGAAAAUUCUCCACGCUGAUUGGUUGCCGUUGAGGUGAUUAUUACGCGAUAAUCACCUAAGCUAUUUUCAAAAUGGCGGCCGAAGCCGUUUUGUCAAUUAUCACCUAUGAAAUUAUACUAAAACAAUUAUUCACCUCAGGCUCGGUGAUUAUCGUGAAUAAAAACCUCGACUUCGUCUCGGUUUUUAUUCACCGAUAAUCACCUCGCCUUUGGCGAAUAAUUGUUAAAUAUCGGACAGACCGGUUUUUCCUUAUUUACAUAAGCAUAGGUAUAAGCAACUACAACAAGGGUGAUAAUUACUAUUUAUCACGGCCGUAGGAAGCUCUUUUUGAUUGGGGAGGGGCUGAAAGCGAGGACUGAAGGCCCAAGGAAAUUUUUAAAUUUAGAGUCUCUGAAAUGCCAUUUCCUGGACUUUGGGGAAGAUUUGACAGAAUUCUGAUGGUCAGAAAACAGCAUAUUAAUAUGUCAAAAUUUACAUGUACAAUUGAGUAGUACUAAAUGGGCUAAGGCAUAUUUAGUUAACUAUAUUUUGGAUAAGUUGCAGCAAUUAGUAUGGGUAAUAUCUUCAUUCUUUGCAUGGAUUAAAUAAUAAAGGUCUUCAUGAUUUUGAAAAAAGAAUCAUUAUGAUUAUUAGCAAAUUAUUGGGGGGGGGGGGCUGCAGCUCCCCGGUUGCUACGGCCCUGUUUAUACAACCACAACAACAAUAAAUUGUAAUCUCUGAAAUGGCAUAAGAGUUUUGAGAGCACUUUAAUCUAUGAAAAUUUUUAUAUUUCCAAGAAAAGAUUUUAAGGUUGCUUUGGGGAUAAAGCACAUUCCUGGUGAAAUGAUCAUGCACAAUUCAUGAAUGUUCAUGAAUAAAUCCAUGAACGUUCAUGAAUGUUUGACCAUGAACAUUCAUGAAAGUUACUCAAAUUGUUCAUGAACUGGUCAUGAAUAUCCACGAACAACAGAUCUUUUGAGUUCAUGGCCGUUCACGGUAAUCAUUCUUAAGUAAUCAUUCUUAAGCAUGAACACAUCAAAUAAACACCUAUACCCUAGCUGUUUAUGUGAUUUGCUGACCAAUUUCAUAGUGAAUAUAGAAUAUUCAAUGCAGAAAGUUAAAGCAUUUCACACAUUUCUAAAUUUUACAAGUCUUACAAGGAUCUCUAGAUUUGAGCUUUUCAAUAAUCUCUUCGUGGAUGAGGUAAAUUAUUCUAGGCGAGUCAGAACAUGAGAAAUGAUGCUGAGACGUUUGGCACAUACAUAGUGCACAAGAUUUGGUAUUGUAAUGCUGUAUCUGCAUGUGUACUGAUUGUUUGCUCAUCCUUUGUAGCUACUUGAAUGACCUGACUUUUACAAUGGCUUGAAACAACAGAAUGACACUCUGAGUUGGGAUAUUCAAAAAAGGGUUACAGGUAGGCAGAAGAAGCUAUAAUCAUCUAAGUAUGUUGGUCGUGAUAAUUCUGCCUGACGCGGCCGAGUGAACAAUACUGUAUCACAACAUCACACAACACUGAGUCUCGCAGAACUAGUAUUGUUGGCAGUUUUUAUUGGAUAUUUUUCAGCAUAAUCAGCUAUAUGAUACCUUACGUUCCGUCACCCCCUGCGCACAUAAAUUAAAAGCUGGAAUUGCCUAUUAGACACCCACAACUCGUGCUUGGUGUUAACUAUUUUUAUUGCAUAUAAUCAUUAAAAUGUAUCAAAACGUGAAAACCUGUGAUUUGGCGUUGUAAACGGAGCGAAGGAGAAUGUCUAAAUCAUUCAUAUAUUUAAUGUAAUUAUUCAGUUCUUUUCAAUGAUUUAUUGUAUUGGUAGUCGUUGCCGUCCUAAAUCGUAAGGUCUCUAGUGUUCUCUCAAUUGGUGUUCUCUUGCCACCACCUCGUUCCCAGGCUUUUCCCUCAUGUUGAGGAAUGGUCGGAGCUGGUCACGUGGUUCCCCGAUUUCGCGGGGUAAAUUGAAAUAUACCUUAGGGAGGGUGGAAAAUUGCGUUUGAAAAUUGGCAAGUGUGUUGCACUUUCCGCUGAAAUUGUGAAAGGAACUGUUCUAAAUUCGUAUUUAUCAUGCACCAUUGACACGACUUCCUGCUAUACACUGAAUAUCAUAAAUAAUAAGUGUUGCGUUACAUUUCAAGCGAUAAGCUGGGUCAUAUUUCAUUUGUAAGGAAAGAAAUUGAGUACGCCGUUCGCGGUUCGCCGUAAAACAUAUAUACCUUCUACAACGACUGAUCGAUCAAACAAACGACUUGAUUGUUUAAUUGAAAUGUAUCCUAUGUGAUAUUAUUUCCUGCACUGCAUGACAUUGCUGAAACUCAACGAUCAAGAAUGAUUCCACUCAGAGUAACAUGCAUCACAAGCAUCUUAUUCAUCUGAGUACAUAAUAUGUUACACUAACACAGAAAGUACGUAGCUAUUUGUUAUCACACGAACGCCAAUACUCCUCCGUGCCUGCGGUACAACUAACAACGUGAAUAUUUACAAUGUUACAUGCACCAGACACUGAUAUUGUACUUUAUAGUCAAUUAUUACUAGCAGGGACACCCUGCGCCCAGGCGAGUAUUGUGGAUUCAACAAUUAAUAUGGAGUUUAAGCUUCCCGUUUCCGGGAACGGCAAACGGCACGUUCGAACUUUCUUGGCAAAAUAUUCGUUGCAACGUUUUCGUUUCAGAUUUUCUUUCUUGCGUCGAAAGAAUAAUUAUGUAUUUCAGCUUUAAAACAGCAAGUUCAUUAUUUUACUCUUUAUUGCCUGAUACCGUAAAAUUUUCUUUGCCUGACGUUUGCCGUUUGACGUAUAACGCGAAGCUUAAACUCUCUAAUGCAAAUGGUCCUGUCAUGGUCAAAAGAAUAUCUGACUAAGACAGGUUGUUAUUUAAGAUUUAUGCAAUAUACAGUAUAUCCUGAAUUCGCUUGGGCUGAGGAGUUUCAUAUUAUUUUGCUAUGAAAUCCAUGGCGGGCCGAAUGACAGGUAAAUAAUUAAACCCUGGUUUUUAAACAUGAAAGUAAUUUCAAAUUACUUUUUGAAGGACUACAGAUUUUCUACUUCAGUUGUUGAAAUGCUUUUAUGUUGCUAACAAAAUAAGGCCCGUUUCAUACGUCGCACUAUCAUCGAAUUUAAUUCAGAUGAAUUUAAUUGAAUCAAUUAAAUGCGACGUUAGUACUUCGUAUGAAACGAAUUAAAUCCGUCUGAUGAAUUAAAUUCGUCCAAGACGUCUUAUCCGUCAUGGUCAGACGGAUACAACGUCUGUAGCGCGUCUUCGUUUCAUACGACGUGUUAUCGUCGUGUCGAAUUAAAUGCAUAAAUUAUGUUAAAGUCUGUUUCUCUCUUUCUGGUCUCGUGGUUUUUACUUCUGGGUAAUCCAUGAUCGCUAGACAUGAAAUGAAUUCGUCUGAAUUAAGUUCGUCGUUUGAAACGAAACCAUUUUAGUGUCGACCAAUUGCCGAAUUUAAUAACGAAUUAAAUUUGUCUGAAUUAAAUUCGACGUAUGAAACUGGCCUAAGACCACUAUGUUUGUUACAUAUAUGCACCUAUAUCAUCGACCAUCCCUGUGGCUCCCCAUCAGUACUUUGUGGAAACAGCCCCACCUCCAGGGCAGGAGGACAACAAAAGCUUUAUUACAAUAUUAAUCCAUCACUUCAAAGACCAAGAAGCAUCUUUAUUUAAAAACGUUGAAUAUAACAAAAAAAUGUAAUCAAUAAGUCAAUCAGUCUUUUUUCGUUAUACGCAACGUGCCAACGAUCAGUUUUUAAUACAAUUACAAAGCAAACAAUACAUCAAUAUUAAGAACAAACAUACAUUUGUUAACGUCGGCGUCUUUGCUCUCUUCUUUUAGAUGUUUUUUGAUUUUUUUUCACAAAAAGCUUUUGAAAUUUACAUAAUCUGCAUAAUUGAAAUAUAUAUUUGCAAGAAAUGUUUGUUAUUUCGCUGUCGUCAUGCAGUCGUUAUAAUGUAAUUUUCAAGUUUGACCAAUCAGUGUACGCUAUUCACGACAGUCCCAAUAUUUUGAGAUCAGCGAGAAUAACCACGCAUGAACAGUGUAUAACAGAGAAUAACCACACAUGAACAUAGUCAUGCGCCCGCGAUUAUUGAUGAACUUUACACUUCGCUAAUGCGUUCCUUUCCCCGGGUGUAAGUGGCCGGGCAAAAUUAGUACCCUCGCCCUGGAACGGCGCUCCGCGCCGUUGGUUCGGGAAUAAAGACCAUUCAUUGGCAUUGCCAUUGGCCUUUAUUUGCAGAAUAAUCCAGCUUCUUUCGACGUAUAUCAUGCUGUUGUGGGUAAUCAAUAUUUAUAUCAAUUGUAAUCUUUAUUGUAUACUGUGAUCGACAUCUUCGAAGUUUCAUCCAACGAUGCUAGAGCAAACUGCCGAUCUAUCAAUGGAAAAACUUUAAAAUACUAUAAAAACUCAUCAAUAUGUCUAUGUGCGCGACUUUUUUAUACACUCCUUCCUACCUAGUGUUUAAUAUAAACGAUGAUAAUAUGGUUUAAAUUGAAAACAAACGGAAACCAAAUUUAGCAAGUAUAUAUGAUUCUAAACACUCACGCCUUGCAAUCGAAGUGUAAAGUGCGAAAGUGGAAGCAUGUGAUAUGAGACAUUUCCUCGCCCCCUUAAGUUCUCAGUUUUCUAUAGGCUACGUGCCAGCUCCGACAAUGGUUUUUCGGUUUUUCCUCCAGAAGAGGGAAAGGCUGGGAACGAGGUUGCUCUUUCCAUAGGACAAGCUUUUUCAGUCGAUCAAAUAUUGAUAUCUGAAACAAAUAUGCUGUACUUGCGUUCUUUUGAGCAAAACAUUAAGGUAUAUCAAGCUUGAUCAGAUAUGAUUUAUUAACAAACCAUUUUGUGCUAAUUUUAAACAUUUUCAAAAGUGCUUGUUUGGUUUAAAACCUUGAUUGCUUAGUUAAUAUCGUAUUAAGCUAGCACUUUGUGGAUUAGAUAAAAAUUUUUUGGGCGGAAUAGUUGGUCUAAUUCUCCCGCUAUAUUAAAUCAACUAACGUGUACUUUUUUAGGGACACCAAGAAGUAUAAAAACGGCCUAGUUUUAACCACUACAUCUCGGAAACAAAUUUAAUCUUAGCCUUUAAAUAUAAUUUAUAAUAUUAUACUGUAGCGGCAUGGAGGGCACAGAUUGUGGAGGGUCCGGGGCAAAAAACCUUUCCACGAGGCCUUUAUGACGUCAUAAUUGUAAGACGGGAAAUGCAGUGUUUUGUUUUGUAAUGUAUUGCACUUUAUUGUAUGUUAUCUGGCACUGACGCAGCGAGGAUUUAUAUUCUUGCUUGAGCAAUCUUGUAUCAAGAAAGCUUAUUAAGGGCGUUCGUUGCUUUGGAGGUUCUCUGUGAGCAGCGAAGAAGAAAAUGCACAAAACAUUUUAUGCAUCAAUGACCACCGACAAUGGGCAUCGCCGAUGUUUACGAUCAAUGUGAACCAGGCUUAAGACGAAUUGCGAGAAAGCCGAGCAAGACAAAUCUCCUGUGGCUAAACACACUUGAACUUACGACCAUCGUAUAAAAUGAGACGAAGCAACCAUAGCAAGCACAUGCCAUACACUGGGUAAUAUUAGAAGAUGGGCUAUAAUUGCAAUGCUGUCAAAUGUGACUGCAUUUCAAACAAAUCACAUAUAUAAAAGUAUACAUGUCAACUUAGCAAAUAUUUAACACGCAAUACAACAUACAUAUGUAUAUCACAAUUUGAGAUAUAAAAAAACUGUUUAAAUGUCUUAUAUGUAGAUUGUUGUAAGCUUUCUGAUGAUUUUACAUUUUCUUGCUGUAAUACAAUUUGAUAGAGGAUAAUCACUGAUCACUCAUUUUCUCGGUGUUUGGCAAGUUUUUUGCUUGUGAACUUUUUUUGUGGUAAUUGAGCAUCUAUGGUACUAUGAAUUGAACCACAGAAAAUCUAUUCCCCAUGGGGUUGCGACGAAAUUGCUUUUCUAAGCACUUUUUCGCACAACGGCCCACGGCCUAUAUUCUAAACAUGUUAAUUGGUUGAAACUCUGGAACUUCCACUUGUCGCAUAUUAUAUUCCGCAGCAGAAUAUUCCACGAGUUCUCUCUCCUCAGGUGCAGUAGCCUGCGUUGCAGGCUCUCUGGGUUUGAGGGAGGCGAUGAAAAAUGGGAGACAGAAUCAUCGCCUCCCCCAAACCCAGAGAGCCUGCCACGCAGGCUACAGGCGCGCAGAGGCUUUUAAAGAAUAUGAAAUUCGAAAGAAUUGAAAAAGCGCAAUUUCAAAUACCUUCUAGCUUUCAAAUAUCUUCUUCAAUUCCAAUCCCUUCGAAUUUCAUAUUCUUUAAAAGCCUCUGCGGAGGAGAGCCACAAGUUCAAAUUACAGAUUUAUAGCAGCAAAUAAAAAAUAUAUAGAUGACUCGCUGACAAUUUCUGGCUACAUUAAUCGAUCGCCGCGUGCGAUUGAAUCAGAUAUACUGGUAAAUACAUCAUUGGCAUAAAUCUGUCUUGAAUAACCAAUAACUCCUCGAGUAACCAAAAACGCAAAAUUAAUUUAAAAAAAACGACUUUAUAUCUCGAACUUCUUGCUUUUCGCAUCUGUAUUCAAUACUUAGAGUAUAGCCGCCAUCUUCAAUUCUCAAACGCAUUAAUUUUAUUGUAAUAAUUUACUCUAGAUCCAGAACCAUGUUACUCUUUUUUUGGGAGUUGAAACGACCCCUGGAGUAAAAUUAAGGAGUAAAAAUUACUCCAUAAUUUCUACUCCUAAAAGCGAGUUUAAUUUACUCCUCCAGUGGAGUUAAAUUGACUCCCGAUGGAGUAAAUUGUAGAAUGCGCGCCGAAGUGGAGUAGUUUUAACUCUAUUUUGGGAGUAGAUUUUACUCCACAAUUUUUACUCUCCCGAGAGGAGUAGUUUUAACUCUUAUGGUGGAGUUAAAAUAACUCCUUGAAAUUACUGUCGAUCCAAUUGAAGUGUUGCUCAAAUAUUGAUUCAAUACAUUACCUCGGGCUGACCCAUUCAUUUCAUCAAGUUCCUCGAGAUAUUCAUACACUUUCUAGUAUAAUUGUAAACUUCCUGUUGAAUAGUUUGAAUGCACCAAUCACCUUUGUUGUUUGUGCAACUAACCAAUCAUAAAUAGAAAGGAAGUGACCAGAAAUGAUCCAAUACUUGGAAUUGGCUCUUUCACAGGAAGUGUAUGAAUAUUUCGAGCAAGUUGAUCAAAUGAAUUGGUCAGCCCGAGGUAAUGUAUUGAAUCAAUAUUUGAGGAACACUUCAAUUGGAACGACAGUAACAGUGUGGUGUGUACCACAUUCCUUGCAUGUGAAUGUGGUCUAGUUUACAUUGGUGAAACUGGUCGAAAUCUCUCAGUAGCUACGUCUUAAGGAACAUAUUAAGACGAAUUGCGAGAAAGCCGAGCAAGAUAAAUCUCCUGUGGCAAAACCAUAGAAAUAAAGAUAAUAAUAGAUAAUAAAGGGUUAUUAACCGAGAGCGAGGUCUGUGCAGGAAAGUAUUUGCCUGAGGUUUUCAUACAGACCGAGCGACGAAGGAGCGAGGUCUGUGCGGAUAAACCGAAGGCAAAUACUUUCCCGUACAGACCAAGCAAAACGAGGUUAAUAAACCAUUUAUUAUAUGGCUCCUUAAACAUAUUUUCUGAUUUUCAUAUAUUUGUUUGAGCGCUAUAAAGGUAUUUUUGAGCUAUGCUUUAUUUGCUAGUUUUCUUCCUUUAGAUUUGGAUUCGUCACCGAAUAUUGUUUACGCAAAAGCAUGUUUAACAAUCGCUUUAGAACUACUUUUUCGGUAACCCCCACCCCCUGAAAAAAUGUUUAUAAACCCGGUUUAUAUGAUAUGAUAUUUGUUUAGAAUAUGGUAUUAAAGACGUUAAAUUCAUCUUUAUUUUAUUUUUUGAAACAAGUAAACAAAUCAAAACAUUUUCCCACCAAAACUUACGGUUGUCAGUAAGAGUUCAAACGGCUUGUUUUCUUAGCUUUUUCGAUGAAAUUUGUGUUGAUACAAGUACUUAUUAAUAUUUCCAAGACUUCUUAUUCUUAAAAAUGAUCAUAACGACCUUAUAAACGUGUAAAAACGUUUCAAGUUCGAGCCUGUCAAAUUUACAUACGGGAAACCGGUCCGGAUACGGGAAAUACGGACCACGGUCCGGAUACGCAUUUUACGGACCGCACGUCGACCAAUCAGAAUCCAGGAUUCUGCAAAGCCAUAUAAUAACAAUAGAUAUCUAUUAUUUCUAUGGGCUAAACACACUUGAACUUACGACCAUCGUAUAAAAUGGGACGAAGUAACCAUUUUGGCGAUUGAUAGUCAUAAGUUCUCUCGCAAAAUGAGAGAGUCAAUUGAAAUUGAGAAGCACAAUACUAUAGAUCAGGAGGGAAAGCCACUAGAUAGUAUACGUGGCGUGCUCUCUUUAAUGUGCGAAAUUAAUUUCUCUUGUCUUGGAUGCGCGCGCGUUAAUUAGAAUCACUUCUCUACGUUUGAAAUGACGUGGUUGAUGUCCCGUUUAAUUAAAUUUCAGAUGACGCGAGCCAACAGAUCACGACACUUUUGUAUAUAAAAAAAGAGCGCGUAAAAAAAUGAACAAGUCACAUAUUAUUUGCACUGAUGAAGAACCAGGCUUACGGAUCGAAAGCUUUGCAGUAAUAAAUUUACGUGGUGUUUCCACAAACAAAACUAUUACAUAAUUUUAUUAUUUGCUAAACUCCGGAUAUCCUUGCGCUAUUCAUCUCCGCACCAAAACAAAAUGUCUUUCCGUAUUUUUCCCGGAUAUUAUUUUAAAACUAUUUCUAAUUAUUUAACAAGACGCUUCUUCGAACGUUCAGUUGCCCCAGCAAAUAAUUGUAAAAAUUGCAUAGUGUUACAUUUUUAUACAUAAUACAACGAAAAUUUAAAACAAUUUGUGUUACAGCUCCCGUUCCCGGAUUAGUUGUAAGUAAAACAGUACUAUUUACUAGUAAUUUUAGUAUUAUUCACUAGAAAUAGUUUUAAAGAAUACCUAUGCACAUGCACUGUCACUGUUAAUCAAAUCUUUGUUAGCUUUCUUUAUGUUUGGCGGAACCGUAACUCCAUUUAGUAAAAAUAUUUGCUCGUCUGUAUUCGGAACAAAAUCGGAAGCCAUUUUGUUUUUGUCCGGAGGUGAAUGCAAAGAUAUCCUGAGCAGCCAAUCAAAUUGGGUGAAAAGAGCUGUCCACCUCCCGAGUGCAUAUAUGAUAAUAGUGCUAUAGGAUAUUGACCUCAACGCCUCCCGUCUCGGUGAAUAUUUUUGUACUACUAUUCACCUCCACUUCGGUGAAUAAUUGUUAAAUACGUUAUAAUUAAGAAUUGAAGAAAACUCGAUUGUUUCAAAAAACGUAAAUUAGAAAUAACAUUCUACAAGAUUACGAUCUAAAUAUGUCUGUUAAAUAUGUUGUAAUCUAUAAAGUAUAUAGUUUGCUGAUUUUAAUAGUUUGAAAGCAAAGAAUACUGUAUCAAGAUGCAUUAUUUUAUAAAAUUUUGUAUCACACAUUAAAGGAUACACUAUUGUGAUAUGGAAAAACAAUGACAGGAAAAGAAGAUAUACCUCAUAUAAAACAACAACUUUCAUGACUUUCAUCGAAAUCAGCGACGAUUAUAUUUCAGUGUGAAAUAAUUGCAAUAUAUAUUAAAUGCAAUAUAUUUAUGUCCAGUAUAUGAUCGCUAUAAUCAAUGAUUUUUUGUAUUUUAUCGCUUUUGUAGAUACUUUGCACAGAAAGAUACUUAGUUGCCUAGAUUUUGCACCACGAUGGCAGUGAAACCAUUUUCCAAAGAACAAUUGAAUUUCUUUAAGUUUUCUACACUUGUUCUUGAUGAGUUCCCCAAGGUAUUGCGUCAAAUUUUUAUCACCAUGUGGGACAGCAAGGUUGCUGUAAGACCAGGAUUCAUUCCAUGGGAUGACAGUAUCACAGUACGGAACAUGCUUCUUAAAUCUGAAGGUGGUAAAACAGAUAUACCAACUACGAAAUCAAUUGAGGAGUGGGACUGCAGAGCUUUGUUUAAAGCAACAAUCUAUGCCAAAACCUUUGGUGUUCCAGGAAGCAAGGGAUCAACUUUGAAUGAUUUAUAUUUGAAGAAAGUUAAACCACCUCCUGGUACUUUUCAUUCAUCAGUCCAGAGCUCAACAGGAAGUCAAGAUGAGACCUACGCCUUGGCAAUUGAUCAACUGCGAUUAUUGAGAAACACACUUUGCCAUUCACCAAAACCAGUAAUAGUCAAAAUUGAUUUUGAUAACUAUGUACAAUUGGUAACCAACGCUUUAACAGCAAUCAAUGUUGAUAGCGCUUUUGUUGAUACUAUUGGUCAAAUGAGCGAGGAUGAUUUCCCUACAGAGAAAGUUCAAGAAUUACAUGAAUGUCUUUUGAAUGAGUUACGAGCCAACAGUGUAUUUCAUGAGAAUAUGGAGCAGAAGUUGUCCUCUAUUGACGAACGAACCGAGAAUGUGGAGGAGAAAUUGUCUUUUAUUGACGAACGAACAGAUAAAAUUCAUACAAUGAUGAAAAAAUUUAAUAGGACUUUUGGAGAGAAGAGAAAUCUACCAGGUAACGUUAAAUGCACAAUAUGCAGUGUAUAUAUAUACAGAUUACUGCAUGAUUGGCGAGCGUGUACGAUUUUUAUGCACGAGUAUGGUGGCCCAGCGUUACCAUAGUGAUAUACCUG